This 206-nucleotide ribosomal RNA is filed under the name uncultured bacterium. RNAcentral's name for it is "partial 16S ribosomal RNA". It matches the Rfam family "Bacterial small subunit ribosomal RNA", at positions 1300 to 1500 of the family's 1533-position model. The record is from RNAcentral.
GCAGUCUGCAACUCGACUGCACGAAGCUGGAAUCGCUAGUAAUCGCGGAUCAGCACGCCGCGGUGAAUACGUUCCCGGGCCUUGUACACACCGCCCGUCACACCAUGGAAGUCUGCAAUGCCCGAAGCCGGUGGCCUAACCACUUAUGUGGAAGGAGCCGUCGUAAGGCAGGGCAGAUGACUGGGGUGAAGUCGUAACAAGGUAAC